UGGGGAAUAUUGCGCAAUGGGGGGAACCCUGACGCAGCCAUGCCGCGUGAAUGAAGAAGGCCUUCGGGUUGUAAAGUUCUUUCGGUAUUGAGGAAGGUUGAUGUGAUAAUAGCACAUCAAAUUGACGUUAAAUACAGAAGAAGCACCGGCUAACUCCGUGCCAGCAGCCGCGGUAAUACGGAGGGUGCGAGCGUUAAUCGGAAUAACUGGGCGUAAAGGGCACGCAGGCGGUUAUUUAAGUGAGGCGUGAAAGCCCUGGGCUUAACCUAGGAAUUGCAUUUCAGACUGGGUAACUAGAGUACUUUAGGGAGGGGUAGAAUUCCACGUGUAGCGGUGAAAUGCGUAGAGAUGUGGAGGAAUACCGAAGGCGAAGGCAGCCCCUUGGGAAUGUACUGACGCUCAUGUGCGAAAGCGUGGGGAGCAAACAGGAUUAGAUACCCUGGUAGUCCACGCUGUAAACGCUGUCGAUUUGGGGGUUGGGGUUUAACUUUGGCGCCCGUAGCUAACGUGAUAAAUCGACCGCCUGGGGAGUACGGCCGCAAGGUUA
This 547-nucleotide ribosomal RNA is filed under the name uncultured bacterium. Its description in RNAcentral is "bacterial SSU rRNA". It matches the Rfam family "Bacterial small subunit ribosomal RNA", at positions 355 to 896 of the family's 1533-position model. The record is from RNAcentral.